RNAcentral lists this ribosomal RNA (398 nucleotides) under uncultured Hanseniaspora. RNAcentral's name for it is "eukaryotic LSU rRNA". The stretch from base 1 to 124 matches the Rfam family "5.8S ribosomal RNA", at positions 30 to 154 of the family's 154-position model. Lineage: Eukaryota; Fungi; Ascomycota; Saccharomycetes; Saccharomycodales; Saccharomycodaceae. The record is from RNAcentral.
GCAUCGAUGAGAACGCAGCGAAUUGCGAUAAGUAAUGUGAAUUGCAGAUACUCGUGAAUCAUUGAAUUUUUGAACGCACAUUGCGCCCUUGAGCAUUCUCAGGGGCAUGCCUGUUUGAGCGUCAUUUCCUUCUCAAAAGAUAAUUUAUUAUUUUUUGGUUGUGGGCGAUACUCAGGGUUAGCUUGAAAUUGGAGACUGUUUCAGUCUUUUUUAAUUCAACACUUAGCUUCUUUGGAGACGCUGUUCUCGCUGUGAUGUAUUUAUGGAUUUAUUCGUUUUACUUUACAAGGGAAAUGGUAACGUACCUUAGGCAAAGGGUUGCUUUUAAUAUUCAUCAAGUUUGACCUCAAGUCAGGUAGGAUUACCCGCUGAACUUAAGCAUAUCAAUAAGCGGAGGA